Molecule: transfer RNA, 73 nt
Organism: Sordaria macrospora k-hell
Lineage: Eukaryota; Fungi; Ascomycota; Sordariomycetes; Sordariales; Sordariaceae
Rfam family: tRNA
About the family: Transfer RNA (tRNA) molecules are approximately 80 nucleotides in length. Their secondary structure includes four short double-helical elements and three loops (D, anti-codon, and T loops). Further hydrogen bonds mediate the characteristic L-shaped molecular structure. tRNAs have two regions of fundamental functional importance: the anti-codon, which is responsible for specific mRNA codon recognition, and the 3' end, to which the tRNAs corresponding amino acid is attached (by aminoacyl-tRNA synthetases). tRNAs cope with the degeneracy of the genetic code in two manners: having more than one tRNA (with a specific anti-codon) for a particular amino acid; and 'wobble' base-pairing, i.e. permitting non-standard base-pairing at the 3rd anti-codon position.
Source: Rfam
GAAUUAGUAACUUAAUUGGUAGAGGACUUCCCUGUCACGGAAGUAGGUGCCGGUUCGAUGCCGGUCUAGUUCG